GCCCUCGUAGCUCAGUGGAUUAGAGCACUCCUGUCCUAAAGGAGGUGUCGCAGGUUCGACUCCUGCCGAGGGCUCCA
RNAcentral lists this transfer RNA (77 nucleotides) under bacterium. RNAcentral describes it as "tRNA-Arg". It matches the Rfam family "tRNA". From Rfam's summary of the family: Transfer RNA (tRNA) molecules are approximately 80 nucleotides in length. The record is from RNAcentral.